GUCGAGAGAUCCUGCGCCGAAAAUGUCCGGGGCUCAAACUUACCACCGAAGCUACGGGCUCAAGUUUACUUGAGCGGUAGAGGAGCGUCGUAAUCGGGCUGAAGUCGUACCGUAAGGAGCGGUGGACUGAUUACGAGUGAGAAUGUUGGCAUUAGUAGCGAGAUGUAAGUGAGAAUCUUACAGGCCGAAAAUCUAAGGUUUCCUGGGGAAGGCUCGUCCGCCCAGGGUUAGUCGGGACCUAAGCCGAGGCCGAAAGGCGUAGGUGAUGGACAAUUGGUUGAUAUUCCAAUACCACUAUUAUCGUUAUUAUCGAUGGUGUGACGGAGAAGGAUAGGAUGUGCUAGCGAUUGGAAAUGCUAGUCUAAGCAUUUAGGGAGUUAAAGUAGGCAAAUCCGCUUUAACAAUUCUGAGGUGUGAUGGGGAAGGUCAUUUUGACUGAAGUAUCUGAUUCCAUGCUUCCAAGAAAAGCAUCUAGAGAGAGAAGUAGUGCCCGUACCGCAAACCGACACAGGUAGAUGAGGAGAGAAUCCUAAGGCCAUCGGAAGAAUUGCAGUUAAGGAACUAGGCAAAUUGACCCCGUAAGUUCGCGAGAAGGGGUGCCUGUGAGAGCAGGCCGCAGAGAAUAGGCCCAAGCAACUGUUUAGCAAAAACACAGGUCUCUGCUAAAGCGUAAGCUGAUGUAUAGGGGCUGACGCCUGCCCGGUGCUGGAAGGUUAAGGGGAACACUUAGCGCAAGCGAAGGUGUGAA
This 748-nucleotide ribosomal RNA is filed under the name Escherichia coli. RNAcentral describes it as "partial 23S ribosomal RNA". It matches the Rfam family "Bacterial large subunit ribosomal RNA", at positions 1148 to 1911 of the family's 2925-position model. Lineage: Bacteria; Pseudomonadati; Pseudomonadota; Gammaproteobacteria; Enterobacterales; Enterobacteriaceae. The record is from RNAcentral.